This 214-nucleotide long non-coding RNA is filed under the name Elaeis guineensis (African oil palm). RNAcentral's name for it is "long non-coding RNA (EGUI_LNC010725)". Lineage: Eukaryota; Viridiplantae; Streptophyta; Magnoliopsida; Arecales; Arecaceae. The record is from RNAcentral.
GGCAAUGAACUAGUAUUAGGAUACACAAUAUUCUAUUAGAUGCAGACAUAGUAAUGCUAGGAGAAAAAAGUCCAAAGACAAAAUAGAAUUAUGAUUCCACUUGGUAAAGAUGAUUCUAAUGGCUAAGACAUUAUAAUUAACACAAUUACAAAAGAUGAGCCUCAACCUAUAAAAUCUGGAACAAGUGGAUGGAUUAGGUCAGCUCAAUCCAAUU